Molecule: ribosomal RNA, 450 nt
Filed under: uncultured bacterium
Lineage: Bacteria
Description: partial 16S ribosomal RNA
Rfam family: Bacterial small subunit ribosomal RNA
Source: RNAcentral
GUGGGGAAUAUUGGACAAUGGGCGAAAGCCUGAUCCAGCCAUGCCGCGUGUGUGAAGAAGGUCUUCGGAUUGUAAAGCACUUUAAGUUGGGAGGAAGGGCAUUAACCUAAUACGUUAGUGUUUUGACGUUACCGACAGAAUAAGCACCGGCUAACUUCGUGCCAGCAGCCGCGGUAAUACGAAGGGUGCAAGCGUUAAUCGGAAUUACUGGGCGUAAAGCGCGCGUAGGUGGUUCAGUAAGUUGGAAGUGAAAUCCCCGGGCUCAACCUGGGAACUGCUUUCAAAACUGCUGAGCUAGAGUACGGUAGAGGGUGGUGGAAUUUCCUGUGUAGCGGUGAAAUGCGUAGAUAUAGGAAGGAACACCAGUGGCGAAGGCGACCACCUGGACUGAUACUGACACUGAGGUGCGAAAGCGUGGGGAGCAAACAGGAUUAGAAACCCUAGUAGUCC